Molecule: long non-coding RNA, 2726 nt
Filed under: Sus scrofa (pig)
Lineage: Eukaryota; Metazoa; Chordata; Mammalia; Artiodactyla; Suidae
Description: lncRNA (ENSSSCG00035057860.1, ENSSSCG00055003850.1)
Source: RNAcentral
CUUAACUGAGCUACUGGCUUAGAAACUGCACUGGUCCAGCUUGAUUUUUUUUUUUUUUUUUUAAGCCUCAAAGCACUUUUAUGGGGGAAAGUUUUCCAGUGGCAGGACUCAGUCUUGGGACCUGUAAGAGCCACGUUCCAGUGGCAGCCAAAGCCCGUCUCUUCCUUCCUUCCCUCCUUGCAGGCAUCACCGGCCAGUGGCACCCUCUGGCCACUGAAAGAGCAGCUAACGGGCGCUUAACCCCCUAUGGUGAUUCCAGUGCAGCCCACAGCCCCAGAACUGGAAAGACAGAAAGGAAUUUGGAAACCGAUCCUGCAAAUAACCUGCCACCCAGACAAGAAACAUGAAUCCACCGGUCCUGCAAUCCUGGUGUCCAUCCAUCAAUCUGGGCCUCCUCCGGGAGGGGUCUGCUCUGUGGAAGGCUUGUUCGGGGACAGGCUUUGGGGAACAACAGUCACGGAUAUGCUCCACCUGAGCUGGCUCUCCUGAUGGGCAGAGGGAGAUGGAGACUCAAAAUCAAGGCACUGGAAUGGUCUUCCUGCGACUGCUCAUCUGCUCAAAGGCAGCCACGGACGGGCGUGGGAGACGUUAAUUAACCACAUCGUAGUAGUAAUUGCGCAGCCUGAGCUCCACCGCUACAAAUCCAGGCCUGUUCUCCACGCUGAAAGGAAAGAGAGGCAUCACUGUGUGUUUUCAGUGCUGGUGAAAAAGCCCUGAUACCACCUGGGGCCUUUGCCGGCCAACAGCAAGUGGAGUGGCUGCGCCCCCUGCUGGCUUCCUCAUGAGCCUGCAGCUCAGCACAUCCCUGCUCCAAGGCACAGGUGACCAGAAGCCUAUGGGGAACACGGUGGGGGCCCAACCCGGACCUACAGAGCCCAGUCUGCAUCCAGCAAGGACCCUGGGUGACUCAUGUCCACCUUAAAGAUGUGGAAGUUUUACACUCAUGGAUAGGAGCUUUUGGAGUUCCUGUUGCAGCUCAGUGGAAACAAAUCUGACUAGCAUCUGUGAGGACGCAGGUUUGAUUCCUAGCCUCAAUCUGUGGGUUGGGGAUCCAGCGUUGCUGUGAGCUGUGGUGUGAGGUGAUGAUGCAUGGAAACUACAGGGAAAAUUUUUUAACAAUCUGUAACCUCUAAACAAACUUUUUUUUUUUUUGGUCUUUUUAGGGCUGCACCUGCAGCAUAUGUAGGUUCCCAGGCUAGGGGUCGAAUCAGAGCUAUAGCCACCAGCCUACACAACAGUCACAGCAAUGCAGGAUCUGAGCCACAUCUACGACCUACACCACAGCUCAUGGCAAUGCCAGAUCCUUAACCCACUGAGCGAGGCCAGGGAUUGAACCUAUAUCUUCAUGGGUACUAGUCAGAUUCGUUUCCACUGAGUCAUGAUGGGAACUCCACUUUUUUUUUCUUUUUUAAAUAAACUUUUACAGACAUCUCUGCUUCCUCUAACAAUGCUGAACAGGAUCAGCUGGGAGCAAGUAUUUCUUAAAACUCUGAGACUCAAGCCUUGCUUGGAAGUUUUCUUUUUCUUAUUUUGCAAGAUUUUUGGCUCUUCUAUGAGAUGUAAAACUGCCCGGUAAGUGAAACAGAACUUAAGUGAAAUUGCAAGAACUGUCCACAAUCAGCCUCUCUGACCUGCAACAAUUGCAAUUUCACAUGGCUCAGUCUAGGUCUGAGAAAGCAGGUGAGGACAGCACAUGUGGACCAAGCAGCACUCACACUUACAAGGGCAGAAUAGUGUCUCCAAAACCAAAAUGGGUCAUUUUAUCAAGUGGCAUCAAGUAAAUGGUUGCACCUAGAGUUUUCAAGAACGAGCAACAAAACUGCUUGAAAACAUCAGCCAUCUGUGGUCACGCCUGGAGAUGAAUGCCUCCUCUGCCUCACGGUGGGAAAAUAUGUCUCCGACCACCAAAGCGUAUUGCAGGAGGGGAAGUGAUGGCCAAACCUGGGAUGUGGGACCUCAUGCAGAAACCUGUGUCCACAGAGAGGAAAAGCUCCCUCCUGUUACCCGACUUCUCGAGCCAAAGAACACAGACUCGUCAUCUUAGCAAAACAGGGUGUUCUGCUCCAACCAGGGGGAUCCAAAUGCACAAAGAGUCCCUUUGAGCCUUGCUGUGAGGGUUUCAUGCACCCAGCAGUCUAGCACCAAGCAAACAAACUAGUGCAGGGAAACAGGAAUGCAGACUGGCCCCCAGCAAAGACGCCUGAUCAGGUUUCCCAGGGAGAGUCUCUCCUUGACACAAGAGGGGAGGCUGCCUCCAGGAAGACAGGACAACGCUGAGCUUCUGCAGAGGAGGGUGGCCGAGUGUCUGGUGUGUGUGCUGGUGUUCUGCCCACUUCUACCUACGGGGGCCUGGGGUGCUUUUUCUGCUCUGACCCUUAUGACCAGCAGCUGCCUUCCUCCCUCCUUGUGUCCUGCACUCAAGCUCCCCAUCCUGCAGUUCUCAGCUGUAAUGCCUCUUCCUAAAGAGGCCAACAGGGAUGCCCCAGGGGAAGUAUGACACUCAUUCAAAGCUCCCUGUGGUUUGUUUUAUAGCAUCCACCACAGUGCAUAAUCAUGCAUUUUACAUGGGGGUUGUUUCCUGUUGGUCCAGCCCAGGAUUGUAACAUCCGUGAGAAAAGUGUCAACCAGUGCUUAUUCAUGGUAUUGAGUAUGUGCAGGACAGUCGAUAAAGUGCAUCGGUGGUAAAUCUAAGGGUACACAUAUAUCCCUGUAUGUCAAAAUAUCUG